AGCGAACGCUGGCGGCAGGCCUAACACAUGCAAGUCGAACGAACCUUUCGGGGUUAGUGGCGGACGGGUGAGUAACACGUGGGAACGUGCCUUUAGGUUCGGAAUAACUCAGGGAAACUUGUGCUAAUACCGAAUGUGCCCUUCGGGGGAAAGAUUUAUCGCCUUUAGAGCGGCCCGCGUCUGAUUAGCUAGUUGGUUGAGGUAAUGGCUCACCAAGGCGACGAUCAGUAGCUGGUCUGAGAGGAUGAUCAGCCACAUUGGGACUGAGACACGGCCCAAACUCCUACGGGAGGCAGCAGUGGGGAAUCUUGCGCAAUGGGCGAAAGCCUGACGCAGCCAUGCCGCGUGAUUGAUGAAGGUCUUAGGAUUGUAAAAUUCUUUCACCGGGGACGAUAAUGACGGUACCCGGAGAAGAAGCCCCGGCUAACUUCGUG
RNAcentral lists this ribosomal RNA (434 nucleotides) under uncultured bacterium. RNAcentral's name for it is "partial 16S ribosomal RNA". It matches the Rfam family "Bacterial small subunit ribosomal RNA", at positions 29 to 507 of the family's 1533-position model. The record is from RNAcentral.